This 788-nucleotide ribosomal RNA is filed under the name uncultured bacterium. RNAcentral describes it as "bacterial SSU rRNA". It matches the Rfam family "Bacterial small subunit ribosomal RNA", at positions 69 to 869 of the family's 1533-position model. The record is from RNAcentral.
GUAAGGCCCUUUCGGGGGUACACGAGUGGCGAACGGGUGAGUAACACGUGAGUAACCUGCCCACAACUUUGGGAUAACGCUAGGAAACUGGUGCUAAUACUGGAUAUGUGCUCCUGCUGCAUGGUGGGGGUUGGAAAGCUCCGGCGGUUGUGGAUGGACUCGCGGCCUAUCAGCUUGUUGGUGGGGUAGUGGCCUACCAAGGCGGCGACGGGUAGCCGGCCUGAGAGGGUGACCGGCCACAUUGGGACUGAGAUACGGCCCAGACUCCUACGGGAGGCAGCAGUGGGGAAUAUUGCACAAUGGGCGCAAGCCUGAUGCAGCAACGCCGCGUGCGGGAUGACGGCCUUCGGGUUGUAAACCGCUUUCAGCAGGGACGAAGCUUUUUGUGACGGUACCUGCAGAAGAAGCACCGGCUAACUACGUGCCAGCAGCCGCGGUGAUACGUAGGGUGCGAGCGUUGUCCGGAUUUAUUGGGCGUAAAGGGCUCGUAGGCGGUUGAUCGCGUCGGAAGUGGAAACUUGAUGCUUAACGUUGAGCGUGCUUUCGAUACGGGUUGACUUGAGGAAGGUAGGGGAGAAUGGAAUUCCUGGUGGAGCGGUGGAAUGCGCAGAUAUCAGGAGGAACACCAGUGGCGAAGGCGGUUCUCUGGACCUUUCCUGACGCUGAGGAGCGAAAGCGUGGGGAGCGAACAGGCUUAGAUACCCUGGUAGUCCACGCUGUAAACGGUGGGUACUAGGUGUGGGGUCCAUUCCACGGAUUCUGUGCCGUAGCUAACGCAUUAAGUACCC